GAUGAAGAACGUAGCGAAAUGCGAUACUUGGUGUGAAUUGCAGAAUCCCGUGAACCAUCGAGUCUUUGAACGCAAGUUGCGCCCGAAGCCAUUAGGCCGAGGACACGCCUGCCUGGGCGUCACACGUCGUUGCCCCCCCAUCUACUCCUUCGGGAUUGCGGGGGGCGGAUGAUGGCCUCCCGUGCGCCUCGCCGCGCGGUUGGCAUAAAUGCCAAGUCCUCGGCGACGCACGCCACGACAAUCGGUGGUUGCGAAACCUCGGUUGCCCGUCGUGUGCGGUCGUCGCGCAUCGAGGGCUCGAAAAAAUUGCCGGGUUCCGGCUCGGCUUUCAACGCGACCCCAGGUCAGGCGGGGUUACCCGCUGAAUUUAAGCAUAUCAAUAAGCGGAGGA
RNAcentral lists this unclassified non-coding RNA (391 nucleotides) under soil metagenome. RNAcentral's name for it is "partial contains 5.8S ribosomal RNA, internal transcribed spacer 2, and large subunit ribosomal RNA". The stretch from base 1 to 122 matches the Rfam family "5.8S ribosomal RNA", at positions 35 to 154 of the family's 154-position model. The record is from RNAcentral.